CCUACGGGUGGCAGCAGUGGGGAAUAUUGGGCAAUGGGCGCAAGCCUGACCCAGCAACGCCGCGUGAAGGAAGAAGGCUCUCGGGUUGUAAACUUCUUUUUUCAGGGACGAAGCAAGUGACGGUACCUGAGGAAUAAGCCACGGCUAACUACGUGCCAGCAGUCGCGGCAAUACGUAGGCGGCAGGCGUUAUCCGGAUUUACUGGGUGUAAAGGGUGUGUAGGCGGGAAAGCAAGUCAGAUGUGAAAACCAUGGGCUCAAACUGUGGCCUGCAUUUGAAACUGGUUGUCUUGAGUACUGGAGAGGCAGGCGGAAUUCCUGGUGUAGCGGUGAAAUGCGUAGAUAUUAGGAGGAACACCGGUGGCGAAGGCAGUCUGCUGGACAGCAACUGACGCUGAGGCGCGAAAGCGUGGGGAGCGAACAGGAUUAGAUACCCGAGUAGUC
This 443-nucleotide ribosomal RNA is filed under the name uncultured bacterium. Its description in RNAcentral is "partial 16S ribosomal RNA". It matches the Rfam family "Bacterial small subunit ribosomal RNA", at positions 338 to 795 of the family's 1533-position model. The record is from RNAcentral.